CAUAAUCGUUAGUUCUUUAAUUGGGAGCUUGUAUGAAUGGUUGAAUGAGAAAUAUACUUUUUUAAUAAAAAUAUUGAAUUUUACAUUUUAAUUAAAAGGUUAAAAUGUUUUUAAAAGACGAGAAGACCCUAUAGAGUUUAAUAAUUCAUUUUUAAUAUUUUAAAAAAAUUAUUAGAUAUUUUUAUUUAAUAGAAUUAUUUUGUUGGGGUGAUAGUAAAAUUUAAUUAACUUUUAUUUUUUUUUUACAUUAAUAUAUGAUUAAAUGAUCCAAUAUUAUUGAUUAAAAAAUUAAAUUACCUUAGGGAUAACAGCGUAAUUUUCUUUUUAAGUUCAUAUUAAUAAAAAAUUUUGCGACCUC
This 358-nucleotide ribosomal RNA is filed under the name Pseudolycoriella kaikoura. RNAcentral describes it as "partial 16S ribosomal RNA". Lineage: Eukaryota; Metazoa; Arthropoda; Insecta; Diptera; Sciaridae. The record is from RNAcentral.